AGCCACUGCUAUUGGGAUUCGGCUAAGCCAUGCAAGCGGAGGGCGCGGUCGAAAGAUCGUGGCCCCGCACACUGCUCAGUAACACGUAGUCAACCUACCCUUGGGACGGGGACAACCUCGGGAAACUGAGGCUAAUACCCGAUAGGUGAGGGACGCUGGGAUGCCUCCUCGCCCAAAGCUCCGGCGCCCAAGGAUGGGACUGCGGUCUAUCAGGCUGUUGGUGGUGUAACGGACCACCAAACCUACGACGGGUACGGGCGAUGGGAGUCGGAGCCCGGAGAUGGGGACUGAGACAAGGCCCCAGGCCCUACGGGGCGCAGCAGGCGCGAAAACUCCGCAAUGCGCGCAAGCGUGACGGGGGGAUCCCAAGUGCCGUUGGUCUUUCGAUCGACGGUUUUUAGGAAGUCUAAGAAGCUUCCAGAAUAAGGGCUGGGCAAGACUGGUGCCAGCCGCCGCGGUAACACCAGCAGCCCAAGUGGUGGCCACGAUUAUUGGGCCUAAAGCGCUCGUAGCCGGAUCAGCAAGUCCCUUGUGAAAUCGGGCCGCCUAACGGUUCGGCGUGCAAGGGAUACUGUUGGUCUUGAGGCCGGGAGAGGUCGGAGGUACUCCUGGGGUAGCGGUGAAAUGCUCUAAUCCUAGGGGGACCACCAGUGGCGAAGGCGUCCGACCAGAACGGACCUGACGGUGAGGGGCGAAGGCUAGGGGAGCGAACGGGAUUAGAUACCCCGGUAGUCCUAGCUGUAAAGCAUGCGGGCCAGGCGUCUAGCGCUCCUUGAGGGCACUAGGUGCCGGAGGGAAGCCGUUAAGCCCGCCGCCUGGGAAGUACGGCCGCAAGGCUGAAACUUAAAGAAAUUGGCGGGGGAGCACCACAAGAGGUGGGACCUGCGGUUC
This 891-nucleotide ribosomal RNA is filed under the name uncultured archaeon. Its description in RNAcentral is "bacterial SSU rRNA". It matches the Rfam family "Archaeal small subunit ribosomal RNA", at positions 21 to 903 of the family's 1478-position model. The record is from RNAcentral.